UACGGAGGGUGCGGAGCGUUGUCCGGAAUCACUGGGCGUAAAGGGCGCGUAGGCGCGGCGGGCAGUCAACGGUGAAAGCUUGGGGCUCAACCCCGAGUCGGCCGUCGAUACUCCCGGGCUGGAGCACUGUAGAGGCAGGUGGAAUUCCGGGUGUAGCGGUGGAAUGCGUAGAGAUCCGGAAGAACACCGGUGGCGAAGGCGGCCCGCUGGGCAG
This 214-nucleotide ribosomal RNA is filed under the name uncultured bacterium. RNAcentral's name for it is "partial 16S ribosomal RNA". It matches the Rfam family "Bacterial small subunit ribosomal RNA", at positions 524 to 736 of the family's 1533-position model. The record is from RNAcentral.